UGUCUCCAAGACAGACUCAGUGAAAUUGAAAUCUCCGUGAAGAUGCGGAGUACCCGCGGCCAGACGGAAAGACCCCGUGCACCUUUACUACAAUUUUGCACUGGUACUAGGCAUUGGAUGUGUAGGAUAGGUCGGAGGCUUUGAAGCAGUGGCGCUAGCCAUUGUGGAGCCAACGUUGAAAUACGACCCUUUUGGUGACUGGUAUCUAACCGCGUCCCGUUAUCCGGGACCGGGACAUUGCAUGAUGGGUAGUUUGACUGG
Molecule: ribosomal RNA, 261 nt
Filed under: Climacostomum virens
Lineage: Eukaryota; Ciliophora; Heterotrichea; Heterotrichida; Climacostomidae
Description: partial Bacterial large subunit ribosomal RNA
Rfam family: Bacterial large subunit ribosomal RNA
Source: RNAcentral